GAUUUAUUGGGCGUAAAGGGCUCGUAGGUGGUUGAUCGCGUCGGAAGUGUAAUCUUGGGGCUUAACCCUGAGCGUGCUUUCGAUACGGGUUGACUUGAGGAAGGUAGGGGAGAAUGGAAUUCCUGGUGGAGCGGUGGAAUGCGCAGAUAUCAGGAGGAACACCAGUGGCGAAGGCGGUUCUCUGGGCCUUUCCUGACGCUGAGGAGCGAAAGCGUGGGGAGCGAACAGGCUUAGAUACCCUGGUAGUCCACGCUGUAAACGGUGGGUACUAGGUGUGGGGUCCAUUCCACGGGUUCCGUGCCGUAGCUAACGCUUUAAGUACCCCGCCUGGGGAGUACGGCCGCAAGGCUAAAACUCAAAGGAAUUGACGGGGCCCCGCACAAGCGGCGGAGCAUGCGGAUUAAUUCGAUGCAACGCGUAGAACCUUACCUGGGUUCGACAUGGAUCGGGAGUGCUCAGAGAUGGGUGUGCCUCUUUUGGGGUCGGUUCACAGGUGGUGCAUGGCUGUCGUCAGCUCGUGUCGUGAGAUGUUGGGUUAAGUCCCGCAACGAGCGCAACCCUUGUUCACUGUUGCCAGCACGUUAUGGUGGGGACUCAGUGGAGACCGCCGGGGUCAACUCGGAGGAAGGUGGGGAUGACGUCAAGUCAUCAUGCCCCUUAUGUCCAGGGCUUCACGCAUGCUACAAUGGCUGGUACAGAGAGUGGCGAGCCUGUGAGGGUGAGCGAAUCUCGGAAAGCCGGUCUCAGUUCGGAUUGGGGUCUGCAACUCGACCUCAUGAAGUCGGAGUCGCUAGUAAU
Molecule: ribosomal RNA, 798 nt
Filed under: uncultured bacterium
Lineage: Bacteria
Description: bacterial SSU rRNA
Rfam family: Bacterial small subunit ribosomal RNA
Source: RNAcentral